Small nuclear RNA from Sorex fumeus (smoky shrew), 115 nucleotides. RefSeq annotates it as U5 spliceosomal RNA. The transcript has a single exon. NCBI's taxonomy places the organism in Eukaryota, Metazoa, Chordata, Mammalia, Eulipotyphla, Soricidae. The record is from RefSeq and is a predicted model, not a curated record.
AAACUCUGGUUUCUCUUCAGAUUGCAUACAUCUUUCACCUUUUACUAAAGAUUUCCGUGGAGAGAAACAAUUCUGAAUUUUGAACCAAUUCUGAGUUUUGACCAAAAAGUCAACA